AGCUUGCUAAUGAAAUUCUUAGUGGCGGACGGGUUAGUAACACGUGAGAAUCCUACCCUUGAGUGGGGAAUAGCCUUUCGAAAGGAAGAUUAAUGCCCCAUAGUCUCUACGGAGUAAAGAUGCCUUCGGGUGUCGCUUAAGGAUGGGCUCGCGGCCUAUCAGCUAGUUGGUGAGGUAAGAGCUCACCAAGGCAACGACGGGUAGCUGGUCUGAGAGGACGAUCAGCAACACUGGAACUGAGACACGGUCCAGACACCUACGGGUGGCAGCAGUCGAGAAUCAUUCACAAUGGACGAAAGUCUGAUGGUGCAACGCCGCGUGGAGGAUGACGGCCCUAGGGUUGUAAACUCCUGUCAUCAGGGAGUAAGACUUAUUCGUUAAUAGCGUGUAAGUUUGAUAGUACCUGAAGAGGAAGGGACGGCUAACUUCGUGCC
Molecule: ribosomal RNA, 434 nt
Filed under: uncultured Roseibacillus sp.
Lineage: Bacteria; Pseudomonadati; Verrucomicrobiota; Verrucomicrobiia; Verrucomicrobiales; Verrucomicrobiaceae
Description: bacterial SSU rRNA
Rfam family: Bacterial small subunit ribosomal RNA
Source: RNAcentral